This 921-nucleotide ribosomal RNA is filed under the name Xylaria sp. RNAcentral describes it as "partial large subunit ribosomal RNA". It matches the Rfam family "Eukaryotic large subunit ribosomal RNA", at positions 34 to 980 of the family's 3401-position model. Lineage: Eukaryota; Fungi; Ascomycota; Sordariomycetes; Xylariales; Xylariaceae. The record is from RNAcentral.
CUAAGCAUAUCAAUAAGCGGAGGAAAAGAAACCAACAGGGAUUGCCCUAGUAACGGCGAGUGAAGCGGCAACAGCUCAAAUUUGAAAUCUGGCCCUCGGGUCCGAGUUGUAAUUUGCAGAGGACGCUUUUGGCGCGGUGCCUUCCGAGUUCCCUGGAACGGGACGCCUUAGAGGGUGAGAGCCCCGUACGGUUGGACACCAAGCCUAUGUAAAGCCCCUUCGACGAGUCGAGUAGUUUGGGAAUGCUGCUCUAAAUGGGAGGUAAAUUUCUUCUAAAGCUAAAUAUUGGCCAGAGACCGAUAGCGCACAAGUAGAGUGAUCGAAAGAUGAAAAGCACUUUGAAAAGAGGGUUAAAUAGCACGUGAAAUUGUUGAAAGGGAAGCGUUUGCGACCAGACCUUUUCCCGGCGGAUCAUCCGGUGUUCUCACCGGUGCACUUCGCCGGGUCAAGGCCAGCAUCGGUUUCCGCGGGGGGACAAAAGCUUGGGGAACGUAGCUUCUUCGGAAGUGUUAUAGCCCCUUGCAUAAUACCCCCGGGGGGACCGAGGACCGCGCUUCGGCAAGGAUGCUGGCGUAAUGGUCGUCAACGACCCGUCUUGAAACACGGACCAAGGAGUCGAACAUUUGUGCGAGUGUUUGGGUGUUAAACCCUUGCGCGUAAUGAAAGUGAACGGAGGUGAGAGCCCUUACGGGUGCAUCAUCGACCGAUCCUGAUGUCUUCGGAUGGAUUUGAGUAAGAGCAUAAACGUUCGGACCCGAAAGAUGGUGAACUAUGCGUGGAUAGGGUGAAGCCAGAGGAAACUCUGGUGGAGGCUCGCAGCGGUUCUGACGUGCAAAUCGAUCGUCAAAUCUGCGCAUGGGGGCGAAAGACUUAUCGAACCAUCUAGUAGCUGGUUACCGCCGAAGUCUCCCUCACAGGAUU